AUCCUGGCUCAGAUUGAACGCUGGCGGCAGGCCUAACACAUGCAAGUCGAGCGGUAGCACAGAGAGCUUGCUCUCGGGUGACGAGCGGCGGACGGGUGAGUAAUGUCUGGGAAACUGCCUGAUGGAGGGGGAUAACUACUGGAAACGGUAGCUAAUACCGCAUAAUGUCGCAAGACCAAAGUGGGGGACCUUCGGGCCUCAUGCCAUCAGGUGUGCCCAGAUGGGAUUAGCUAGUAGGUGGGGUAACGGCUCACCUAGGCGACGAUCCCUAGCUGGUCUGAGAGGAUGACCAGCCACACUGGAACUGAGACACGGUCCAGACUCCUACGGGAGGCAGCAGUGGGGAAUAUUGCACAAUGGGCGCAAGCCUGAUGCAGCCAUGCCGCGUGUGUGAAGAAGGCCUUCGGGUUGUAAAGCACUUUCAGCGGGGAGGAAGGCGAUAAGGUUAAUAACCUUGUUGAUUGACGUUACCCGCAGAAGAAGCACCGGCUAACUCCGUGCCAGCAGCCGCGGUAAUACGGAGGGUGCAAGCGUUAAUCGGAAUUACUGGGCGUAAAGCGCACGCAGGCGGUCUGUCAAGUCGGAUGUGAAAUCCCCGGGCUCAACCUGGGAACUGCAUUCGAAACUGGCAGGCUAGAGACUUGUAGAGGGGGGUAGAAUUCCAGGUGUAGCGGUGAAAUGCGUAGAGAUCUGGAGGAAUACCGGUGGCGAAGGCGGCCCCCUGGACAAAGACUGAC
This 737-nucleotide ribosomal RNA is filed under the name uncultured bacterium. Its description in RNAcentral is "bacterial SSU rRNA". It matches the Rfam family "Bacterial small subunit ribosomal RNA", at positions 16 to 744 of the family's 1533-position model. The record is from RNAcentral.